CGGGGCGUAGCGCAGCCCGGUAGCGCACCUGCCUUGGGCGCAGGGGGUCGGAGGUUCAAAUCCUCUCGCCCCGA
Molecule: transfer RNA, 74 nt
Filed under: Candidatus Eiseniibacteriota bacterium
Lineage: Bacteria; Candidatus Eiseniibacteriota
Also listed under: 4 other names
Description: Candidatus Eisenbacteria bacterium tRNA-Pro
Rfam family: tRNA
About the family: Transfer RNA (tRNA) molecules are approximately 80 nucleotides in length. Their secondary structure includes four short double-helical elements and three loops (D, anti-codon, and T loops). Further hydrogen bonds mediate the characteristic L-shaped molecular structure. tRNAs have two regions of fundamental functional importance: the anti-codon, which is responsible for specific mRNA codon recognition, and the 3' end, to which the tRNAs corresponding amino acid is attached (by aminoacyl-tRNA synthetases). tRNAs cope with the degeneracy of the genetic code in two manners: having more than one tRNA (with a specific anti-codon) for a particular amino acid; and 'wobble' base-pairing, i.e. permitting non-standard base-pairing at the 3rd anti-codon position.
Source: RNAcentral